UCCCUGAUGGGUCAGCAGUUAAGACUCUGCACUUCCAUUGCAGGGGGCAUGGGUUCCAUUCCUGGUUGGGGAA
This 73-nucleotide transfer RNA is filed under the name Bos taurus (domestic cattle). It matches the Rfam family "tRNA". From Rfam's summary of the family: Transfer RNA (tRNA) molecules are approximately 80 nucleotides in length. The record is from Rfam by way of RNAcentral. RNAcentral also lists the same sequence under 3 other names. Lineage: Eukaryota; Metazoa; Chordata; Mammalia; Artiodactyla; Bovidae.